RNAcentral lists this long non-coding RNA (805 nucleotides) under Salvia miltiorrhiza (redroot sage). RNAcentral's name for it is "long non-coding RNA (SMIL_LNC013716)". The record is from RNAcentral. Lineage: Eukaryota; Viridiplantae; Streptophyta; Magnoliopsida; Lamiales; Lamiaceae.
ACACUUGUCUCAUCCCUCUUUCCACUCUCUACUUCUCCUCUCCUAUCCCUCGUCCCUCCACCACCGCCAACCUCACGGCUCCACCACCACCGCCCUCUGCUCUCCAGCCUCGCCACUUCCACCCACCGCCUCCGCCCUCUCCUUUCCUCAACCGGUUCGCUCACCUCCACCCUCCAUUUUCAUCCACUGAUUUGCCCACCUCCAAAAAUUAGGGCUCGAGAUGGAAAGGGGUUUCAAGCGGCGACGAUAUGGGUGGCGGCAUCUCCUCCACCACUGCCUCUCUCUACUCCUCAAUCUCUCCUAGUGAAAAAUGGGAGCGGAGCUGCGGCGGCGGUUGCUGCCGGCGGCUCAGUGAAAAAUGGUGCAAAAUUGAAAAUGGAAAGAUAAAGUUUAGGGGGUUUUUUGUAUUUUUGUGAAUUGUGAAGAUUGAAUUUUGCUCGAAUUUACUGCUCCAUGUUUGAACCGUUAUUUCAAUCUCCUUCUUGUUGUUUGUGUUGAGUUUGGAGAAGUGGUGGGAGAUGGUUUGGAUGGUGCAGAUCUAGUGAGUUUUGGGAUAGUGACUUUUGCAGAGGUUGGAGAGGUGCAAAUUGUUGGCCGUGGAAGUUGCAGGGGAGGGAGUUGGAGAGUGCAGAUUGUUGGCUGUGGAAGUUGCAGGGAAAUGGAGUUGGAGUUUUUGAAGAGGGCUGCCACGAGGCUGUUGUCCUCGGCGGUCGAGGCGCCGACCACCGGCAUCCGGUGACAGAAUUUUCGACGGUGGAGGCGACGGCCACUGGGCGGCAGAAUUGUUGAUGUUGGAGAAGUGGUG